UCUAUAAUCACUUAGUUUAUGCUAGUUAUAUAUAAUCUAAUAUCAAAUGGACACUUAAAUGUGUGAAUCUGCCCUAAGCCCACAUCCAAACAAGGAACUGGGAAUGAGGCGGAAGUCACACAUUCCACUGCCUAACGGAUAUUAAUUAUAUAUAACUCUGAUAUAUAAACUAAGGUAUUAUAUAAUUAACCACUUAAGGUCGUUUAUGUUAUACUAUUUUAAUAAAAAGUAUUAAACCCUUUUAUAAAUAAGUUUCUAGUUUCACUAAAUCAAUUGUGAAACGUUGUUUUUGGUAAAAAUACUAUUGUUUUCAGAAAGUUCAAUGGAAAUCUGUUUACCUUAAAAGAAUGAUGUUUACCAUAUAAAAUCCUAUAUUUUCUAUAAAAACCGACUGGAUGUUCAUGUUGUUCUAAGUUUGAAAAGCACAAGUAUACUCCUUAUACUUACUACAAUGAUGUCUAGUUUUGUUGAUAUGUUAAACUGAAUAAAGAAUUGGUUGUUCUGGAUACCUGAUAUGAUGAUACUACCCUCCUAUGAUUACUUAAUACAUACGAGUUGCAUAUAACCGAGAUCGAAUAGACAGUAUGGGGGAAUCUGCCCUAAGCCCACAACCAAACAAGGAACAGGAAAUGAAGCAGAAAGCACACAUUCCACUGUCUAUCGGACUUCAGUUUUAUCUAACCCUAAAUUAUACAUUGGGUAAUCACAUAGUUAGAUCCUUUGAGAUUUGUUCAUGAAAAGUUUAUUACUACGUGUGUGUGUGUGUGUGUAUAUAUAUAUAUAUAUAUAUCGUUGUUAUCUAUUGUGAGUUUUACGACCAUACUAAUUGGAGCGUUUAACCACAACGUAUUGCAGAUGGCGAAAAGAUAUGACAUUUGUCACCCGCAGACCUGCCGGUCCGGCUGUAGCUAACAGCGAGGUGUGGGAUUGCCAAUUUCGUAUAUAUCUAUACACAAACUCACGCUCUCACUCCAGGAGACUUUGGUCGUAAGGGUAGACUUUCAUUGGUAGUUAUGUGAGUACUCAAAGACGUGUCUCACAAGUUGGAUUCACGAAUUUACACAUGAUAAAGUGGAAAAUCUUUUUUAUAUUUGACAGAUAAGUUUAUAAAAAGAUCCUUUGUUCCCUAAGUUAAACUUAUUAAAGGUUAUAAGCUUAUUUCUAUGUUCUGUUCAAUGUUUCAUGUUCUAAAUACAGUUUAUUGGUACAAAGACAUAAUAAGCAAUUUAUAUUUUUAAAACACAACAUUUUUUGUGGUAUACUUGUAUCCCCCCCUAAAGCAUUUAAAACCAUUUAAAAGAUGGAUUAUAGGGGUAUGAACUCGCCUUAUGUGGGUGAUUCAAUUGAAGAUUCGAGUAAGGAUUAGAAGUUCCACGAAUGAAGUCCCGAGGCACAAACGAGUCCUAAACGACAUAUAUUGAUACAUAUAUGUAUNCAAGAAGUGUUCACGGCCUUGGGAGGGUUCACGGCCAAGAACACAUGAUGUGUUCACGGCCCAACCUUGGUUUAUGAAGUAUUCACGACCAUGAAUGAAGGGUUCACGACCAUAUCACGAUCCUAUGAAGGGUUAACGGCCCAAUGAAGGGUUCACGGCCGUGAAAUCUUAAAGAAUCAUGCCAAAUAGGUGUUUGUUUCAUGGGGAUUCAAGAGCUUCUAACGGACAAUAAGUAGAUGAUUGAUCUACUUACCAUUUGGAAGCUUUUAGGGUGUUCACGGUCCAAGAACUAGUAUGUGUUCUUGGUGGAAAAGAUGGUGAUUUGAAGAUCUUGAAGGAAAAGAGAUGAAUCAAUAUGGAAUCAAAGGGGUUUCUAAGUAUACACAAGUACAGGGAUGAGACACUUACGAUUUUGAGGUGAAAAGAGAGACUUUGUUGGAUGAUACUUGACAGAGAAUGGAGUGAUUGCGGCCAAGAGGAUGAAUAAUGAAAGAAAAAUAAAGCUAUCUCAUAUAUAUAUAUGCGAGGGAGUGUUUGCGGCCGAGAAGUUCACGACCGUGAACCGAGGGUUCACAGUCCGAAGCCGUUCACGACCUCGUUCACGGUCCGAGGUCUUGGUCAUGUUCACGGCUACGAAGCUUUGUGGUCAAUGCGAGGGUUCUCGGUUCCUAAGGCUUUUCCCUUCAACAAUAACACACUUAGAUAUAAGGCUUUAAAACUUGUAAACCAAUAAUCCAUCUAAUUUAAAGAUCAUGAAAGGAAUAAGUUUGACCAAAGUUGACUUUAUAAGAAUAAUAUUUUUGGGAUGUGACAUCAUCCCCCCGUUAGAUGGUAUUUCAUCCCGAAAUUAGUUUUCUCAGCAGUACUCUUGGGGUCGUGCUCUUCUGAAUGGCUGAAUACCUUCUCAUAGACCUGGGCAACUUUGCCCUGAAGUUCAUGAUAGGAUUCAUACAUGGUCCAUCUAUCAUUACUUUGUGUAUACAAGUCGUAUAUAAUUAAGAUUAGUAAGAUGAUCGGAUGUGCGAAUCUGCCCCAAGUCCACAUCCAAACAAGGAACAGGAGAUAGGGCGGAAGCACACAUUGUAAAUCUGCAUAAUCAUAAUUAUAUACCACCCUCGCAUAUACACUUAAUUGUGAUAGAUGGGUUGUAUUCGUCCUUAGCCUCUGUGCUUGAACUUGAUCUGUUGGACGAGUGGUAAUUUGGGAAGGUCUGUUAAGUAUGAAUCAGAAAUGUUUCGGAGCGCAAGGUACUCCUCACAUGAGUACUUUGGGGUCAAGAAUAGGAGGGAGACGAUUUUGAGGUCUGGGUCGGGCUGUCGUUACGAAUGACGAGGGUUUCGUUAAUUGGUCGGUUAAGGCGAUGGAAUUUCGAAACACAUGAACUUGUUAUGAUGAGGACCACGCCAAUCCAUGACGAAUGAUGGCAACGGACUCUUUAUAGAAACAAAUGUUAGGCUGAUUUGAAAGAAAUGUUUGUUAUACGAUGGUGUAUCCCUAGUGUGCUCGACAAUGAAUUAUGUGAAGACUUUCUAGUGCUUUCAGUUUUCUCCUUGAUAAUACCACUACCACAAAUCAUACCGCGAUAAGCUAGUACUAGCAGUGAUGGUGCUUUGAUAACUAGUGUCGAUACUCUAUAUUAUGAUCCUCCUUGGUACCUCUAUGAUCGCCUGGAUUUUACAAGUUAUGUAUAAUUAAGAUGAAUAAGACGGUCGACUGAGUGACUCUGCCCUAAAUCCACAACCAAACAAGGAACAGGAAAUGAGGCGAAAUCACUCACUCUAAGCCUGCAAAAUCUUAGCUAUGCACAACCCUGAUGUAAAUACUAAGCCAUCAUAGCUCACCUGAACGGAUCUUUAGUUAUCCUAUGAAUGAUGUGUGGACGAGUGAGUUUUUAUAAUUACUUUUAAUAUUUCCCCAAGUUUUAAUCUUAAUAUAAAAUAUAAAUUAAAAAUUUUAAAGUAAUUUUAUUUAGAAGACGUACCGCUGUUCACUGGUGGUUCUGGGGCAACUUCUCCGUUGGUGAUCAUCAGAAUUCGUCCAUCCAUGCCUGAGUUCUUCGUUAUCGAGCAGUCCCUCUUGCAGUACCUAGUCUCACCACAGCCACAUCAGGCCUGUUUUAUUUCUACUCCAGGGACUUGGGAGAUCGGUUGUGUCGGCGCCCUGCAUAUACUGGCAGUGUGCCCCUUCCUGCGGCAAUUCAUGCAUUGCAUUUGUCGACAUAUUAUGGUGUGAUGGUAGUUACACUUUCCACACUUCGGGAGAGUUCCAUCAUAUUGACUGACAGGUGCUGGAGUGGCAGGUGUUAUGGUGGCGUUUAUAGUAACCACUUGUUGCUCCUGCGGGGGUUCCUGUGUUGUUCGCUCCUUCUUAUUUUUCCCCGACUUUUGUUUAUAGUCCCCUCCCUUUGAUGGCUCGGGAACUAGGACCACCACGUCAUGGCGGACUCCAUGGUCAAUGAGUCUCUGGGCCAGGCAUUUGGAGCUAUCGAAGGUAGUUGGAUUAUAAGAUAGUACAUCCCCCUGAAUCAGGGUAGAUAAGCCCCAUAUGUACUUUUCUAUAUUCUUACUCUCUAGGGUAACCAUCCCGGGGCAUAGUGCUGCUAGGUCGCUAAACCUAUCACUGUAGGACACUAUGUCUGAGCCGACCAUGGUGUGCUCCCAUAGCUGUUUUUCCAACUUUUGAACUUCGCCCCUAGGGCAAUAUUCUUCCAACAUCAUCUAUUUCAGGUUCUUCCAACCCAUUGAGUUCGCCACUGAUAGGGUCAGUGACUUAACAUGGCUAUUCCACCAUGUUAGGGCUCUGUUGGAGAAGUGCAGGCAUCAAACUUCACUUUGCUCCCUUCUGGGCACAUGCAGAUUUCAAAAACCGAAUCUGUUAUCUCGAACCAUCGCAUAAGAUCAAUGACUCCCCCAUUUCCAUUAAAGGAUUUGGGUUAUCAAUUCAUGAAGUCCUUAUACGAACACUUUCGUGGGUGUCCGUGGGUAACUCCAGGGUUAGUUAAGUGGGUACCACUACCAGUUCCACUGGUACCACUUGCACGAAUGUGAGUUAUAUUAACUAUUAUUGCGGCCGUUAUCGCUGCAUGGAAAGCAGCAGGAUCAAAUUGUGGUGGUGGAUUCUUUGUUGUGCUAUUGGCCACACGCAUUACAGGUUUACCAUGAGGCAUAUUUUGAUAAAAUAAUACAAAGAUGAAAUGGAAUUAAGUCUCUAUCAGUGGUUGUAAGCUGAAAGUUGAAUAAGUUAUCCUAGUUCUGAAUGUAUCUGGUUCUGACUUUCAUAGGGUUCUGGAAACAAUUCAUAAAGCGAGUCUAUAUAAAAUAAACUUAAUGAAUUAGAAGUGGAUAUCCUCGAAUGAAUCUCUGUAAAUUGAAUAUCCGUUACUGGCUGCAUGAAAAGAAAUAAUCCUAACACAUAGUGUGAGUAGUCUAUUUACUAGCUCACUAAGUCAUUUAAGGUUAUUAUUUAUUAGUGUGACGCAUAGGACAUUUUGGUUUCUUCGGCUGAUCCCUCCUUGGAAAACUCCUCUUGAAUCUCUUUUUGUUUCUCCUUGACUCCUCUGCUGAAUGCCAUGAUGGAGUGGUUACAUUUAUCUGGGUUUGUUGUGCGAGAAUGGAAGUGUCUAAAGAAUUUAUGAGAUUAAGUGAAACGUUAUGGGGUGAUCCUUACCGAGUCCUCCUAUAAUUGCGCAAUGUAUACAAGUUGUAUAUAAUUUACGAUUAAAUAGACCUUCGGAUAAGUGAUCCUACUCUAAAACCACAACCAAUCAAGGAACAGGAAGUAGAGCAUAGAUCACAAAUUCUAAGUCUAUAAAAUCUUAAUUAUAUAAACCUUGGGAGUACACACUCCAGAAUUAUCGACCUACCAGAAGGGUCUUUAAAUUAUCACAUAAGGUAUUUAUAUAGUGCAUAAAAUACUUCUAUAGUAUUUUAAUGUAAUAAACUUGGUAUGUUUUAAACUCGUUGUUGUCUUAUAGUAUCAUAAAAUACUCCUAUAGUAUUUUAACUUUAUGUUCUGAUCUAGAAAUCCCUUAAAUAGAGUUAGGUAAGUUUUAAGACUGCUGAAACACCACAUCACUCCCAAACACAUGUCGGUCAUAUCCCAAAUAAAUACAACAUAUAAGGCUAUAUUGAUCCCAAAUAUGAUUACAUAACUGCUUAGGUAUGACCACAGUGUCCAACCUUUAAAUACUUUUAUGAUGUUCUCCUUGUGAUACUUGUUCUAGUAUGUAUAUAUGUAUAUGCAUGUAUAUAUAUACAUUUAUAAGAUUACUGUUAUAUCUUAAAAUAUACUUUUAGUCAGAGCACUCGGCCCCAUUGUAUUUAUAGUUGUAUAUCGUUUAUAGGUUGACAUACUUAAUUCACUAUAAACAAUGCUCUGAUACCAAUCUGUCACACCCCAAACCGGAACGGCGGAAACGUUCGGGAGCGGAAGACGUCAUAUGUAGUAUCAUAACACAUGCAUCAUAGUAAUCGAAUUAACAAACAGCCAUUGCAUUAAUAUUAAAGUGUUUACAAUGGAUGUGAUUCACAAAAUAUUGACUAUAAAAGUAAAUAACAAAACAAGACAUGAAGCUAUUAUACUCCAUCUUCUAAAUCCCGGUGCGCGUACCUGUCUACUAGUUUCCUGAAAAUACAAGUUAUUUUGAAAGAGUCGAUCAACAUUUAAGUUGGUGAGUUCAUAAGUAUUUAAGUGAUGAAAAGUAAGUUCUUUAGAAAAGUUCGUCUGUUCCUCCAGAAAAUCCUAUAUUUUCUGAUGUGGUGAAAGAUAAGUAAAAAUGACUCUACAAUUUCUUCUAUGAGUACUAAAUGGAUACAAGUUAUAUACAAUUUAGAGGAAAUAGACAAUUGAUUGUGUGGAUCUGCCCUAAGCCCACAACCAAACAAGGAACAAGAAAUGAGACGGAAGUCACAUAUCCCAUUGUUUGUUAGAUCAUCAUUGUAUAUAACCCUGACAUAUUCAUUUGGUACCUACGGAGUUAACUGUAAUAGUUCUUUUAUAUUUGAAGAAAACAUUCUUUAAGAAAAUCAUAUAUUUACUUUAGUAAAAUAGUAACCACAAUAGUUCCUUCUAUGAUCACUUAGUUUAUACUAGUUAUAUAUAAUGUAAUAUCGAAUGGACACUUAAAUGUAUGAAUCUGCCCUAAGCCCACAACCAAACAAGGAACAGGGAAUGAGGCAGAAGUCACACAUUCCACUACCUAACGGAUAUUAAUUAUAUAUAACUCUGAUAUAUAAACUAAGGUAUUAUAGAAUUAACUACUUAAGGUCCUUUAUGUUAU
RNAcentral lists this long non-coding RNA (6713 nucleotides) under Lactuca sativa (garden lettuce). RNAcentral's name for it is "long non-coding RNA (LSAT_LNC005191)". Lineage: Eukaryota; Viridiplantae; Streptophyta; Magnoliopsida; Asterales; Asteraceae. The record is from RNAcentral.